Molecule: long non-coding RNA, 1969 nt
Organism: Ipomoea triloba (trilobed morning glory)
Lineage: Eukaryota; Viridiplantae; Streptophyta; Magnoliopsida; Solanales; Convolvulaceae
Exons: 13
Source: RefSeq, a predicted model, not a curated record
UUAUAUUUGUUGUUUCUGAACCAACCCCUGAAGGCCCUGAUAUAUAUAUCAGAAGAAAGUCCUAAUUAAAGAAGAUUUAUGGUUCUAUGAAGAUAUUCAACUCCAAUCUAAAAAUCUAGACCUACGCCUCUCUCUCUAAAAAUCCAAAUCUGCCGUGGAGGCGGUCGUGAGGUUCUUGGCGGUUUCCACGCACCGCUCAGCGUCUUCCCGGAGGCCGGCGCGGCCCUUGGUGCUCAGGCUGUACCAGAGAAAAAUGGGGAUGAGGCCAUUCGCGAGAGCCCUUGGUGCUCAGGCUGUACCAGAGAAAAAUGGGGAUGAGGCCAUUCGCGAGAUUUGGACAUGAAAAUCUUGUUUUUUCUUUCAAAUGGUGAAAUCAUUCAAUUGGAAGGGGAUUCCGCUACAAUUCUAUGUUUCGUAAUCUUGUUUUUUUCUUUCGAAUGGUUUAUUCUCUUUCCAGACUGGCUCUCUUUGAUUGUUCACUAGAAAAUGAACAUUUCUUCCUUAGUUGCUAGUUAGAGUUCCAACUAGAAAGGGAUUUUGGUGAUAUAUUCUUGAACCCCCCCAUACCUUUGGGAACAUCGUUGACAAGUAUCUGUUGUCCUGCAGUCUAUGAAGAUGAUGGUUAAUGAGUUCCUGGUUUGGGUUAUGAUCUGUAGAGUUAAUUUUAUGUAUUUUCUUCUUGAAAUUACAGCCUUUGUCAGUGGAACAUCUUUGAUGGCAUUCAGGUUCUAAUUUUACAGUUUUGUUAUGGUUGUGCUUUCUUCUUAGAAAAUGCACUGCCUGAUGUUUAUAUUCCCCGUGGUGUAUUCUGUUCCGGCACUUUGGGAAUUUGGGAAUUUCAGCCUAAGAAAUUAGGUGAGGGGGACCUCUUAACAGGUGGAGACCUCUAUGCAAACGUCAUUGAGAAUAGUCUAGUGCAACACCAUGUGACACUUCCUCCGGAUGCCAUGGCCAAUACUCUUUGAAGGACACUGUUCUUGAACUUGAGUUUCAAGGUGUCAAAAAGCAGUAUACCAUGCUUCAGACUUGGUCUGUAUGUACUCCCAGGCCUGUUGCAGAAAAGCUUGCUGCUGAUACCCCUCUUCUUACUGGGCAGCGUGUUCUUGAUGCCCUAUUUCCUUCGGUGCUUGGGGGGUACUUGUGCAAUUCCUGGUGCAUUUGGCUGUAGGAAAACAGUGCCGCGCCCUCUCCAAGUACUCCAACUCAGAUACUGUUGUUUAUGUUGUGGGGAAAGAGGAAAUGAAAUGGCAGAGUUUUCCAGCAUUGUCAUGUGAGUUUGCAUCAGUGGAUGUUAGUGAUGUCUUAGGACCAAAUAGAUUGAAUAUAACAAAAACAGAUCGCAAGUAUUCUAUAGAUUCUAAUUUGGGACAUACUGGUUCUGAAUUUGAAUCUGGAUCAAUUGCAAAUGCUAUUGAAUCUGGAUCAAUUACCGAAGGUUCCAUUUCACUAACUGGCAAAAUUUUGAUAGAGUAGCUCACAGAAACCUUCAUGGGAGAAAGUAGCAAAUAUUAUACAAGAAAGAUAUGAAUUAUGACCUAGAAAUGGAUGGUCGAAUUCUUUUGGGAAAAAGGUUGAUUGCACUGAAGAUGAUUUAUGCAGAAGUUCAUCCGAGAGUAUACUGGUAAAGUUGACGAACUAAUCAAAGAUAAAAUUGAUGCUCAAAAUGAGGCAAAGGCUAAAGAGAAUGAAGAAAAGGAUGUUCUUAAGCAGCAGAAUAUGUAUGCCUAGUUGCUCCUUCUUGCUUUACCUAUAAUUGUAAAAUAUGUAUGCCCAGCUGCUCCACCGAAAUAGAUUGGAUACAGAGGUUAUGGACACUAGUCAGAAUAUUUUGUGGAUGUGUUGCGUAUAAACUUUUAUUAUGUGUUUUAGAUAGAAUUACAUUAUAUCUAUUAGUGUUGGAAUAUCAUAUUGUGUUAUAUUAGUAUUGAAAAAUUCUAUUAUGUUUUGUGCUAAAUGGUGUGAAUUAUUG